AGAGUUUGAUCCUGGCUCAGGAUGAACGCUAGCGGGAGGCCUAACACAUGCAAGCCGAGCGGUAUUGUUUCUUCGGAAACGAGAGAGCGGCGCACGGGUGCGGAACACGUGUGCAACCUGCCUUUAUCUGGGGGAUAGCCUUUCGAAAGGAAGAUUAAUACCCCAUAAUAUUUUGAAUGGCAUCAUUUAGAAUUGAAAACUCCGGUGGAUAGAGAUGGGCACGCGCAAGAUUAGAUAGUUGGUAGGGUAACGGCCUACCAAGUCAGUGAUCUUUAGGGGGCCUGAGAGGGUGAUCCCCCACACUGGUACUGAGACACGGACCAGACUCCUACGGGAGGCAGCAGUGAGGAAUAUUGGACAAUGGGUGAGAGCCUGAUCCAGCCAUCCCGCGUGAAGGACGACGGCCCUAUGGGUUGUAAACUUCUUUUGUACAGGGAUAAACCUAUUUACGUGUGAAUAGCUGAAGGUACUGUACGAAUAAGCACCGGCUAACUCCGUGCCAGCAGCCGCGGUAAUACGGAGGGUGCAAGCGUUAUCCGGAUUUAUUGGGUUUAAAGGGUCCGUAGGCGGAUCCGUAAGUCAGUGGUGAAAUCUCAUAGCUUAACUAUGAAACUGCCAUUGAUACUGCGGGUCUUGAGUAAGGUAGAAGUAGCUGGAAUAAGUAGUGUAGCGGUGAAAUGCAUAGAUAUUACUUAGAACACCAAUUGCGAAGGCAGGUUACUAUGUCUUAACUGACGCUGAUGGACGAAAGCGUGGGGAGCGAACAGGAUUAGAUACCCUGGUAGUCCACGCCGUAAACGAUGCUAACUCGUUUUUGGGCUUUCGGGUUCAGAGACUAAGCGAAAGUGAUAAGUUAGCCACCUGGGGAGUACGAACGCAAGUUUGAAACUCAAAGGAAUUGACGG
Molecule: ribosomal RNA, 905 nt
Filed under: uncultured Bacteroidota bacterium
Lineage: Bacteria; Pseudomonadati; Bacteroidota
Description: bacterial SSU rRNA
Rfam family: Bacterial small subunit ribosomal RNA
Source: RNAcentral